This 1507-nucleotide ribosomal RNA is filed under the name metagenome. Its description in RNAcentral is "bacterial LSU rRNA". It matches the Rfam family "Bacterial large subunit ribosomal RNA", at positions 1276 to 2911 of the family's 2925-position model. The record is from RNAcentral.
CUUAGAUCAGAAGCGAGAAUGUUGACAUGAGUAGCGACAAACAGGGUGAGAAACCCUGUCGCCGAAAGUCCAAGGGUUCCUGCUUAAAGCUAAUCUGAGCAGGGUAAGCCGGCCCCUAAGGCGAGGCCGAAAGGCGUAGUCGAUGGGAACCAGGUUAAUAUUCCUGGGCCAGUGGGAUGUGACGGAUCGCAGAUGUAGUUUGCCCUUAUCGGAUUGGGUGGGCUGCUGAGCGGUUCCUGGAAAUAGCCCCACAUCAGACCGUACCCUAAACCGACACAGGUGGACUGGUAGAGUAUACCAAGGCGCUUGAGAGAACCACGUUAAAGGAACUCGGCAAGAUGCCUCCGUAAGUUCGCGAGAAGGAGGCCCCGUCUGUACGCAAGUAUGGGCGGGGGGCACAAACUAGGGGGUGGCGACUGUUUACUUAAAACACAGGGCUGUGCGAAGCCGUAAGGCGACGUAUACAGUCUGACGCCUGCCCGGUGCUGGAAGAUUAAGAGGAGGGGUGCAAGCUCUGAAUUGAAGUCCCAGUAAACGGCGGCCGUAACCAUAACGGUCCUAAGGUAGCGAAAUUCCUUGUCGGGUAAGUUCCGACCUGCACGAAUGGCGUAACGAUCUCCCCGCUGUCUCUAACGUGGACUCAGCGAAAUUGAACUGUGUGUCAAGAUGCACACUACCCGCGGUUAGACGGAAAGACCCCAUGAACCUUUACUCCAGCUUUGCACUGGUAUCAGGAUUGUGAUGUGCAGGAUAGGUGGUAGGCAUUGAAGCGGGGACGCCAGUCUUCGUGGAGCCUCCCUUGAGAUACCACCCUUCGCCAUCUUGAUAUCUAACCGCGGCCCGUUAUCCGGGUCCGGGACCCUGCAUGGUGGGGAGUUUGACUGGGGCGGUCGCCUCCCAAACAGUAACGGAGGCGCGCGAUGGUUGGCUCAGACCGGUCGGAAAUCGGUCGUUGAGUGCAAUGGCAGAAGCCAGCCUGACUGCAAGACUGACAAGUCGAGCAGAGACGAAAGUCGGUCAUAGUGAUCCGGUGGUCCCAAGUGGGAGGGCCAUCGCUCAACGGAUAAAAGGUACUCUGGGGAUAACAGGCUGAUGAUGCCCAAGAGUCCAUAUCGACGGCAUCGUCUGGCUCCUCGAUGUCGGCUCAUCUCAUCCUGGGGCUGGAGCAGGUCCCAAGGGUAUGGCUGUUCGCCAUUUAAAGAGGUACGUGAGCUGGGUUUAGAACGUCGUGAGACAGUUCGGUCCCUAUCUGCCGUGGGUGCAGGAGACUUGAGAAGAGUUGACCCUAGUACGAGAGGACCGGGUUGAACGAACCACUGGUGGACCAGUUAUCGUGCCAACGGUAGUGCUGGGUAGCUAUGUUCGGACAGGAUAACCGCUGAAGGCAUCUAAGCGGGAAGCCCCCUUCAAAACAAGGUCUCCCUUGAGGGCCGUGGAAGACGACCACGUCGAUAGGCCAGAGGUGUAAGUGCAGCAAUGCAUUCAGCUGACUGGUACUAAUUGCCUC